This is a non-coding RNA of Podarcis lilfordi (Lilford's wall lizard), 76 nucleotides long. The record is from the annotation of a GenBank genome assembly. NCBI's taxonomy places the organism in Eukaryota, Metazoa, Chordata, Lepidosauria, Squamata, Lacertidae.
GUCCAGCAAUGGCUCCUGUCAUGAUAGCAUGGUGCUGAUAAUGCCAAGGUUGCAGGUUCGAUCCCUGUUUGAGACA